AUGGCCAUGAAAACAGAGCUCCUCCGUUUGCUACCUCUGCUGCUCCUGCUCCUUCCGUCUCCCCUCCGCGAUUACCUGUGGACUGAUGAAGCCGCCAGCUGCAGAGUCGGUCAAGGCCAGCUCCAAGUCUACCACCCGAUAAUCUUGUUCCCUGGCAUAAGUUGCCCCAACCUGGAAGCCCGGCUCACUGACGCCUACACCCCGUCGGUGCCGCGCUGCGGCGCACUCAAGGGGAAGGGAUGGUUCCCUCUCUGGAACAACACCUGGGACGUGCUCGACCAUGAUUACCUUCCGUGCUUACAGGAGCAGAUGAGCCCUGUGUACGACCCCAUCCUCAAUGACUUUCGGAACAGGCCUGGCGUCGAGACUCGCGUGCCGGACUUCGGCUCCUCCUACGGUUUCACCUCAAAGGGCGAAGUGGACGGACGUAACUUAUUUUGCAUGUCAAAACUCAUUCAAGAACUGGAGGCAGUAGGGUAUCGUGACCGCGAUACCCUUUUCGGAGCUCCUUAUGACUUACGGCAUGCUCCACCUUCACCCGGCCAGCCAUCUCAGGUGUACACCGACUACUUUGCCCGUGUCAAGGAUUUGGUGCAGCACGCAAGCGAAAAAAAUGGGAACAAGCCCAUCAUCCUCGUCGGGCACAGCUUCGGAGGAAAGGCAGCCCUUGACUUCGUCAAUUGGACUCCCUUUUCAUGGAGGAAAGAAUUCAUCAAACACAUGGUCCUAAUCGCGCCCACACCUCCUACUGGCUUUGUGCAGGUGCUCAUGAACCUCGUCUCGGGUCCGUCAGCCAUUCUUAUACCGACGGUAACGUCGCUAGAUUUGCGUCCAAUGUGGAGAACUUUCGCGAGUUCCCUUGUAUCCUUACCGUCUACUAGGGUUUUUGCUCACGAGCCGCUUGUAGUCACCAAACAUACGAACUACUCGGCGUAUGACUACAGAGAUUUGCUCAUGGCACUCGGUUUCGGCACUAACAUCAUAAAAUGGGUACUUCAUAUGAAGCAAAAGGUUGAUGCUCCAUUGGUGCCAACGACAUACCUCAAUGGUGUGGGUAUCCAAACAAUAAAUCAGGCAGUAUACCGGGAUAGUAACUUUGAUGUGGAGCCGGAGUAUGUAUAUGGCGAUGGUGACGAUAUCAUCAACUUAGUUAGCUUGUUGACAUUCGUGGAAGAAAUGAGAAGGCAGCAACAUCGGAGUAACAUACACUUCAAGUUCAUCAAGAUUGCUCAUACUAACCACUCUCACAUUCUAAUUCAGGAACGUUCACUCAAGAGAGUUAUGGCUGAAAUUCUAGAAGCUAAUUGCAGAAGAGACAUCAUGUCAUAG
RNAcentral lists this ribosomal RNA (1329 nucleotides) under Triticum aestivum (bread wheat). RNAcentral describes it as "partial small subunit ribosomal RNA". Lineage: Eukaryota; Viridiplantae; Streptophyta; Magnoliopsida; Poales; Poaceae. The record is from RNAcentral.